Molecule: ribosomal RNA, 254 nt
Filed under: uncultured bacterium
Lineage: Bacteria
Description: partial 16S ribosomal RNA
Rfam family: Bacterial small subunit ribosomal RNA
Source: RNAcentral
GACGAACCGUGCGAACGUUGUUCGGAAUCACUGGGCUUAAAGGGCGCGUAGGCGGUUGACCAAGUCUGGGGUGAAAUCUUUCGGCUUAACCGGAAAAGUGCCUUGGAAACUGGUCAGCUGGAGGGAGGUAGGGGCAGCUGGAACUUCCGGUGGAGCGGUGAAAUGCGUUGAUAUCGGAAGGAACGCCGGUGGCGAAAGCGAGCUGCUGGACCUUUUCUGACGCUGAUGCGCGAAAGCUAGGGGAGCAAACGGGG